AAUAGAUACCCCGGUAGUCCACGCCGUAAACGUUGGAUACUAGGUGUGGCGGUUAUACCAAUGACUGCCGUGCCGAAGCUAACGCAUUAAGUAUCCCGCCUGGGGAGUACGGCCGCAAGGCUAAAACUCAAAGGAAUUGACGGGUCCCCGCACAAGCGGCGGAGCAUGCGGCUUAAUUCGAUGCAACCCGAAGAACCUUACCUGGGUUUGACAUCACGGGAAAAGCUGUAGAAAUACAGUGUCCAUUAGGGCCCGUGACAGGUGGUGCAUGGCUGUCGUCAGCUCGUGUCGUGAGAUGUUGGGUUAAGUCCCGCAACGAGCGCAACCCUUGUCCUAUGUUGCCAGCGGUUCGGCCGGGGACUCAUAGGAGACUGCCGGGGAUAACUCGGAGGAAGGUGAGGACGACGUCAAGUCAUCAUGCCCCUUAUAUCCAGGGCUGCACGCAUGCUACAAUGGCCGGUACAACGGGCAGCGACCCCGCGAGGGUGAGCGAAUCCUAAAAAGCCGGUCCUAGUUCGGAUUGAAGUCUGCAACUCGACUUC
This 542-nucleotide ribosomal RNA is filed under the name uncultured bacterium. RNAcentral's name for it is "bacterial SSU rRNA". It matches the Rfam family "Bacterial small subunit ribosomal RNA", at positions 777 to 1319 of the family's 1533-position model. The record is from RNAcentral.